Molecule: long non-coding RNA, 667 nt
Organism: Mustela erminea (ermine)
Lineage: Eukaryota; Metazoa; Chordata; Mammalia; Carnivora; Mustelidae
Exons: 3
Source: RefSeq, a predicted model, not a curated record
UGACAGUUUUCUUGGAAUCAUGACAGUGUUUUACCCAUAACGGCCCCCUAUACUCUAAUUCAGCUUCUCUCUGGGUAAUCAGACCAGUCUGCUGAAUUUGGAGAGUCCCAUUGGUUCCUGAUCAGGCUUCUUCACGGUUAUUAUGCUUGAACUGGAACUUUCCAGAAAUGGAUGGAUAGAAGAGGCUGAAAGAUGCCUAAAAUGUUGUAUGCCUGGACCCCCUAUCAUGUCAUCAUGUAAUGUCCAAGUUGUAUUAGUAUGAAAUUGUGUCCUUUCUGUUUUUGAUGCCCAAGAGGGACUCAUCAUGUCCCCCCAUUCUCUUUUCUUCCCCAAGGAGUACAACAAUGUCCUCUCAGUAGGAGGACCUGUGAGAGAAGACUGUGAAGAGACUGGUCUAACUGAAGCAUGGGUCUGGCUCAGGUUUUCAAGCCAGCUAUGGCCUUCUCUGGUAUUCAAAGAGUGCUGGCCACCAUGUGUCAGGCCAUCUGCCAGUAAAGAAGUGAAGAGCCAGUCGUCCUGCUUCCCAGGCAGAGGAUGAUGGCGUGCUUUCUCUUGCCACACCCGAUGUCAUGCCUGAUGGAUCUCACCAAGACUUAAGAGCCAAGCAUCCCCAGACAGCUAACACUAAGUAAAAGCCAGGUUUCUUAUGAAGAAGCAAACUGCUAAG